GACAGAGGGUGCAAACGUUGCUCGGAAUCACUGGGCGUAAAGAGCGUGUAGGCGGCCAGGUAGGUCGGUUGUGAAAACUGGAGGCUCAACCUUCAGAGGUCGACCGAAACCAUCUGGCUAGAGUCCGGGAGAGGAGAGUGGAAUUCCUGGUGUAGCGGUGAAAUGCGCAGAUAUCGGGAAGAACACGAGUGGCGAAAGCGCUCUACUGGGCCAUAACUGACACUGAGGGACGAAAGCUAGGGGAGCGAAAGGG
RNAcentral lists this ribosomal RNA (253 nucleotides) under uncultured bacterium. RNAcentral describes it as "partial 16S ribosomal RNA". It matches the Rfam family "Bacterial small subunit ribosomal RNA", at positions 524 to 776 of the family's 1533-position model. The record is from RNAcentral.